CUCUCCACCGUUGCUCCCUCCUUGCGCUGACAUUUUUCUUGUUUUCUGCUGGUGAUGGAGAUCAAAGAGAGGGAGGAGAACGUGGAGGGGUUGAUCAAUGAUUGGGAGGAGGAAAGAGAUGCUGUUGCGAGAGAAAGAGAGAGAAAAGGAGAAGAGAAAGAAGAAUCUGAUUUGCUUUGUCCAGAGAUGCUUUGACGGUUUUCUACAUGACCGUGUAAGUAUCGUAUUGACUUUAUUUAUGAUCAUGCAUGCGAGAUAUUAACUAAACCGGCUUUGCAUAUCAAAGAUUUGGUACCCGAAUUGUAUAUUAAAAAAUAUUUAGGGAAUGUGAUUUCCUUCUUUACCAAAAUAUAUAUACAUGAUGGUUUUAGAAAGUUGUUUAGAUUUGUUUACAGAACUUCGUCAUCAGCAUCAAAUCAUGUCUUUGUAAUAGCAAGUUGCAAAAGUCAAACAAGUUUAGUUGAACGUGUUUGCAAUAUAUAUAUGUCGAUCAUCCUAGAGCAUAAGUAUAUAAAUUCAUUGCAUUUAGGUAUGUUCACAACAUGGAGGCAGAAGAGAUCAUCCAUCACAGUGGUGAGCAGAAUAGAAACUGACCAGCAGCUCCCUCCCUUUUCUCUUCUUUUUCUUAUGGAUCAGUUUAUAGGGUGAAUUAAGUCAAAUAGGAUUCAAAAUAGAGGAAAAAGAGAGGGAGUUGCUGGAUUGUCUUUUCAAGGAUGUUUUGGGAUUAAGCUAAACAGGGGACAUUGCUAGGGAAACACUAAAAUGGGGCACCUCACCAGAAAUGUCUAAAAAGAAAGAUUUUUUCUAGGAAUUCAUCCUUAAAUUUACCUACUUUCUACAACAGAAAAAGUCAAACUAGAAUCCAUCAUUAGAUGAGUGGAUCCACUUUAUUAUUCUGAGAGAAAUCUUUUGCAUUUGGAGUUGGACUUUCACCCAUCAUUGCUUAACAAUUAAGCAAGAUUGCAUUGUUGGUCUUAAGCAGAAAUGCUGUGGCUUCCAUCUGCUGAUGGCAAUAGCUUUUGGGUUGCUUUACAGUUAAGCAAGAUUAAGAUUGCACUGCUAAUGUAAUAGUGAUAUGGGUUCCAUGAACAAUGAAAUUACUGCUGGGUUGAUUAAUACUAGUGAUGCUAUGUGACCCCAAACUGUGGCUGGCACAGUUUCAAUUUUCAUAAACAUCUCAGAAAGUGAACUGGUAGUGAUCAGACACCCUAUUUCUUAUAAGAUUUUGUGUUAAUAACAACCGUUCUUUUUCCAUUUUCUCUGGUAAUUACAGAAAUUUGAGCUUGGAUGAGAUUCCUUGAGCACUCAGUAGACGUAAGCCUGUCAAAUUCACAUGACAUGAUAUAGUGAGCAUAAAAAGAGAGAUCAAGUUCAUGAGAUUUCUCUUAGUACAAGGUUAAAGAAGGAUGAACUAUUAUUAACGAGGUGCUAAUUUAAGAAUAUCGAUCUGAAAACCCUCAUUUUUGCUUCCUAAGGUAGUGAAAAAUUGGUGCUAUCAUUUGAUAGAUUUACUCAAAGCAGGAUGAUUAUGGUUUCUGUCAAGUAACUCAUGGAGCUGCCACUAUGAACAAGUCUGUCGAAACUAAUUGAUAAAGGCACAAAUUCUCUGGAUUCAAAGGCAGACUGUACUGUGAUGGACAAAUUUGAAUCACAGUAUAGAAUCUUGUCUUAGAAAAGUAUUAAUUAGCUCGUAUUGUAAUUGGAAUUCUCAUAAUCAUGGAUUGUGACUCCGAAACACUUCUGAAGUCCUGUCAAAUUUACACUGAAGAGAGGCAGUAUCAUAUCCAUGGAUUGGUGGGCUACAAUUGCUUGGAGCACUGACUUGUUAUUAAAUUUAGGGAUAGCGUGGAGACUAAUAAAAAGGAAGUAUCAAACAUUAAAAUCUGCAGUAAAGAUGGCCACCAAAAAAAGCAGUGGACCAAAGGCACUCAGAACACUGCAUCCUCUUAUCACCAUCCUUUAAUUGCCCUAUAACCAAUACUAUUCUAUGUUAUCACUUGUGCAAUUGGCAGAUUAACUUUCUAAAGUGAUCUCUCAGAUCAUAUCACUUGUGCAAAUGGCAGAUUAACUUUCUAAAGUGAUCUCUCAGAUCAAAUCCUCCUCUCCAAGCUAACAUCUUUCAUCACCAUUACAUGCUCAUCAAAAAGCAUGGGGAAAGGGCACACUACAUUCACAUACAGCAAUCCAAUUCCUUGAGGAGAUGGUUGUGUUUCCUCAGAUUUCUUUUCUCUUUUAUGAGUUCACUUUCUCUACUGCUUUGAUAGUAACUUGAAUUCAAGGUAAUUUUUUUCUCUUUUUUCUUUUGGAGAUAAUCUCCCUUGUCUGUAUGUCAAUGGAUAUGUUCUUUUUUAAUGGGAAAUUUGUAUAUGUAUUUUGCAUUCCAUCUGGUUAACAAAGUGCUUUGUCAUCAAAUGGAUAAGAACAAAUAAUUAAACUUGGACUUGAACCUGUCUCAGACAGGACACUGUUAGAAUUCUAUCAGGACACUGUUAGCAUACUUUGACAUGCUUUAUUCUGUGUGAAUUCUGCUAUACAAAGUGCUUUGCCAUCCAGUGGAUAAGAACAAAUAAUUGAACUUGGACUUGAACCUGACUGUGCCCAUGAGACACUUCGAAUUCUAACAGGGCACUGUUAGCACACCUUGACAUGCAUAUGGUAGAAAAGAUUGGUUCUUGAGAGGAUUUUGGUUUGAACAUAUCAUGACUGGAAACUUGAAUGGGGAAGGAAACUCUGAACAUGUAUCAUACAGAUGCCACAAACUGUUUACAUUUCCUACAGAGACAAAUAAGCAGGAGUUUUUACAGUAAUCCUCACAACAACAUGAACUUUGAUCACACAGACGAAAGGUCUCUAUCAAAGACCAACAAUUUUACAGUAGAAAUGCUUCAUUGCUGAGACAGGAUUCUCCUAAAGCAUUUCACCUCAGUAACAUGGAUACAAAGAGAUCGGGGACUUAUAGGUCCAAUUUAGAGGGCUCUCCAACGCGAUGGGAAGUCGUCUGCUAAGGUAAUUAUCUAUUAUGCUUGGAAGUCAUCAUCAUCUAUCUUCCACAGAGAGUAAGAGCAGUACUCCCAGGUAGGAGAAGGCAUUGUGAGGCGCGAAAUAUCGCAAGCUUCGUCCUUGCACUCCUCGAAGCUCAGCUCACCGAUCAUGUCAGGUGCAGCGAUCUCAUUCCAGAUUUGAUCCAUGGGGUAGCCACUGACAGCGGCAUCAUCAAUCUCUCC
This 3224-nucleotide long non-coding RNA is filed under the name Musa acuminata (dwarf banana). RNAcentral's name for it is "long non-coding RNA (MACU_LNC000901)". Lineage: Eukaryota; Viridiplantae; Streptophyta; Magnoliopsida; Zingiberales; Musaceae. The record is from RNAcentral.